CCUGGAGGGAACUCAUGGAGGAGAUGUGACAUGUUGUCCUUUGGCUUGCGGAUUACUUGGUCACCACAGAAUGAGGGAAAUUGUUGAACCAUCAUGGUGUUGAAGAUGCAGCUUUGUAUGAGGCCUAAUAUCGACUAUACUGACUGGAGCAAGCCCAAGCUGGAGGGGUUUGUAUGGGAUUUUUCAACCUGCAGUCUAACAUAA
Molecule: long non-coding RNA, 204 nt
Filed under: Anas platyrhynchos platyrhynchos (common mallard)
Lineage: Eukaryota; Metazoa; Chordata; Aves; Anseriformes; Anatidae
Description: lncRNA (ENSAPLG00000029819.1)
Source: RNAcentral